UACGGAGGAUGCAAGCGUUAUCCGGAUUUAUUGGGUUUAAAGGGUGCGCAGGUUGUUUGAUAAGUCAGUGGUGAAGGUCUGUCGCUUAACGGUAGGAUUGCCAUUGAUACUGUUAGACUUGAAUAUGGAUGAGGUAGGCGGAAUGUGUAGUGUAGCGGUGAAAUGCAUAGAUAUUACACAGAACACCGAUUGCGAAGGCAGCUUACUAACCCAUCAUUGACGCUGAGGCACGAAAGCGUGGGGACCGAAACAGGAUUAGA
Molecule: ribosomal RNA, 260 nt
Filed under: uncultured prokaryote
Description: partial 16S ribosomal RNA
Rfam family: Bacterial small subunit ribosomal RNA
Source: RNAcentral